RNAcentral lists this ribosomal RNA (433 nucleotides) under uncultured bacterium. RNAcentral describes it as "partial 16S ribosomal RNA". It matches the Rfam family "Bacterial small subunit ribosomal RNA", at positions 29 to 507 of the family's 1533-position model. The record is from RNAcentral.
AACGAACGCUGGCGGCAUGCCUAACACAUGCAAGUCGAACGAGACCUUCGGGUCUAGUGGCGCACGGGUGCGUAACGCGUGGGAACCUGCCCUUAGGUUCGGAAUAACUCCCCGAAAGGGGUGCUAAUACCGGAUAAUGUCUUCGGACCAAAGAUUUAUCGCCUUUGGAUGGGCCCGCGUUGGAUUAGCUAGUUGGUAGGGUAAAAGCCUACCAAGGCGACGAUCCAUAGCUGGUCUGAGAGGAUGAUCAGCCACACUGGGACUGAGACACGGCCCAGACUCCUACGGGAGGAAGCAGUGGGGAAUAAUGGACAAUGGGCGAAAGCCUGAGCCAGCAAUGCCGCGUGAGUGAUGAAGGCCUUAGGGUUGUAAAGCUCUUUUACCCGGGAUGAUAAUGACAGUACCGGGAGAAUAAGCUCCGGCUAACUCCGUG